Molecule: ribosomal RNA, 451 nt
Filed under: uncultured bacterium
Lineage: Bacteria
Description: bacterial SSU rRNA
Rfam family: Bacterial small subunit ribosomal RNA
Source: RNAcentral
CAGCAGUGGGGAAUAUUGCACAAUGGGCGCAAGCCUGAUGCAGCCAUGCCGCGUGUAUGAAGAAGGCCUUCGGGUUGUAAAGUACUUUCAGCAGUGAGGAAGGUGGGUAUGUUAAUAGCAUAUUCAUUUGACGUUAGCUGCAGAAGAAGCACCGGCUAACUCCGUGCCAGCAGCCGCGGUAAUACGGAGGGUGCGAGCGUUAAUCGGAAUUACUGGGCGUAAAGCGCAUGCAGGUGGUUUGUUAAGUCAGAUGUGAAAGCCCGGGGCUCAACCUCGGAAUUGCAUUUGAAACUGGCAAACUAGAGUACUGUAGAGGGGGUAGAAUUUCAGGUGUAGCGGUGAAAAUGCGUAGAGAUCUGAAGGAAUACCGGUGGCGAAGGCGGCCCCCUGGACAGAUACUGACACUCAGAUGCGAAAGCGUGGGGAGCAAACAGGAUUAGUACCCUGGUAG